GCCCCCCGCCCUGCAGACACGGGUACCCGGGAAGGCGACCGCGACUACCACUCACCCUGCGCAGCUUCGAGAACCAGAGCACCUCGGCAAGUCCCGCGAUGCCGCUACCUCCACUCCUUUACUCUUAGAGCCACAAAACCCCGACACUUCCGGCCACGCUUAACCCAGCGGAAGGAACCCCCGUCCCCACGAUGGUUGCGUCUGUCCUACGGUUUUUGCCUCUGAGCACAUUCCAGAGCCCGGCGAAGGGCGGGGCCUCGUAGCUCAAGUCCUUGUAAGGAAAUCGCGGAGAGGGACGCCCGACCCACGUGACUGGUGCUCGCCUCGCCCCGGGAGCCGUACUGCCACGAAGUAGUGCGCCUGCGCGGGGACCCAUGCGAGCACGCGCAGUAUCUGCACUGCGUGCCCUGUGUGAAGUGAGCUUUGUAAGGAGUCCAGCUGCUUCCCACGCUGACGGGGUUCGGUGAGGUCCUAAGGGCCUUAGCCAAGCGCCAUCAUUUUGGUCCAGUAAGACUUCAUAAGGUCGUGAGUGGCUGAAACAUUUUCUUCAAAAAGUUUACAGAUGUUCCUACCAGAGGCUCUUUGUCCCUGACAAACUCAGAAGAACCAGAGGAAAACAAGUGACUCUGGCCCACCACUCUCUGCGGCGCGGGCUGCGACUUGGUGAAAAUAGGAAUGAAAAGCCGGGCCUGCGUUUUCUGGGCUCACCCCGCCCAGAGCGGCUUCUAGCCACGGCUCUCAGAAAAGGAAGAGAAAGCCCGUUGGGUCUGCCCUCGCUGAGUCACCUCGCCCAGACCUCAUCUGCCAGCCCAGCGAGGGCCACCCCUACCCUCAGAAGUUCUCCAGCACUGCGCCUGGGACCGGUCUGCUCAGGUCCAGCUGUACCCAAGGACUCAGUAGCAUUCCACCCAUUACCAGUAACAUUCCCAAGUUAGCCUGGAGGUGAAGUCACUGGGAAAAAAUACCCGGGUUCUCUAGAACUGAAACGAAGGUGGUUGGUUUCCCAGACUUCCACAGUAAGAGUCACUUGGGGUACUUGAUAAAAAUACAAAUAAUCGAGUGGUUUAUCUCCAACGCACUAACAGCAUUUUUAAGGGAAGGUCCUGGGAAGCCAUGGGUUCAGCAGUGGUCCAAAGUGACUCUUGUCUGGGAAAUUGAGGACAUACACAGAUAGGUGGCAGGCAGGGUCAGCACGAACUCCAGGGGGCCUGAGGAGUAGGGCCUGCCUUUGUUCUUGGAGUUUGGCUUUGGGACAGUGGUGCGCCUGCAAUGCACAAUGGUUCCACAGGGUGGUGGCCUGCCACCAUGGGAGCAGGAGCCUCCCACUCACGUGCUCUCCUUCAGAAAAAAAAUCCCAUUAGUUUUGACCGUAGUAAGGAAAUUGUUUUUCCCUCAGCUUGAAAGCAGCAUUUGUUUGCUUUUUUAGUGUUUUCCUCCACUCAACCAUUGAACAGGUACUGAACAGCAAUUACAUUGCCUAAAGCACUAUCGUGGGAGCUGUAGCUUCGGUUUGUUCAAAUUGAACAGAUGUCACCUCUGGGAUGGGAUUGGGGAGUGUAGUAGAAAGGGUGUGGAGUUACAAGGGGCGUCAGAAAACAUGUAGAACAGAUAACAGGAGGAAGUAAGCCUGGUGGAGGCCUUGUGUAAGAUGUUCUGUGGGGGCUUACUGAAGUGAGUUCGGAAUGGGAGAGAAGCAUUCCAGUGUGUGGUACUGUAGGUGAUCAGAGGCACAGCUGAUUGAAACUUGCCAGAAAUGGUGUAGUCUGUGUUCAUUCAUUUAUUCAUUUCAUUGAUGGCUAUGGAUAUACCAAGGUGAGCAAGCCAAUGUGGAAAAAUUUUAAUAUUCCAUCUAAUAUUUUGAUAUUAAAUAUUGAUGACUGGAAACCACCAAAGGCUCUACUUUUCCCCAUGCUGCCAUUUUGGACUGUACAGAUCUUUGAAAAAUCUCAGGAGAAUCUCCACACCUACCUUUUCUCUUUUCCGUGGUGCUGAGGAUUGAACCCAGGCUCCUCACUGAAAUACAUUGCCACCCCAUUGUUUAUUUUCUGUUUUGUUGUUUGUUUGUUUUUUGGUACUGGGGAUCGAACUUGGGACCUUGCACUUUCAAGGCAGGCGCCGAAACCACUGAGCUAAAUCCCCGGCCCUUUAUUUUCUAUUUUAAGACAAAGUCUUGCUAAGCCACUAAACUGACCAGGCUGGGCUCAAACUUGUGUUCCUCCUCCUUCUGCUGCCCGGAGUACUGGGAUGUCUUUUCAAACUUUUGACCAAAACUUGUAGUAAGAGAUUUAUAUCAUUAAGUAAUACCUAGUGAUCUGUGAUGCUUCCUAAGAUUCCUAUUCUAUAGAAAGAAAGUUGUGUAUUAGCUUGGGGCAUGCAAAAAAAAAGUGCAAACUGGGCAGCAUAAGCAACAGAAAUCAUAGUCCAAGAUCACACGGCAUAAAGUCACAGAUCAAGGUGCCUACUGAUUUGGUUCCUGGUGAGGGCACUCUUUCUGGUUUGUUGAAAGCCACCUUGCCUUGUCUUUACAUGGCACAGAGAGAAAGCUAUUUCUCUCUUCCUCGUAUAAGGACACCAUGCUGUGAGAGGAGAAACUCUUUUAACCUUAAUUAUCUCCUAAAGAACCCACCUCCAAAUACAGUCACAUUGGAGGUCAGACCUGCAUUUGAAUUGGAGGAGGGGAUACAAUUCAGUCUAUCGUGAAUCUGAUGCCUUUUAAUUUUGUUUUAUUAAAUGCUUAAGACCCACUAAAUGUGAGUUUGUGAUCCACUAAUGCUCUGAUUCUCCCCAGGGUGGCAAGGAGUAGCUUUUUACCCUAGAGGAACAGUUGUUGCUGUCUGGAGACAUUUUGGAUGUUUGCAUCCGGAGUGCUGCUACCAGUAUCUGGGGUGCGGUGAGGGAGCCAAAGAUACUGCUUAAAGUCCUGUUAUGCACAGGACAGCCCCAAAUGGCAGAGCAUUGUUCAGCCCAAAAUGUCAGGUGCUAAGAUUGAGAAAACCACAUGCUAAUAAUUUGGAGACUUCGUAUUUAUAGAAAUCGAUAAUUUGGAUGUGCUAUAAAUACUAAAAGGAUGCUAUAUAUUGCUCCUACUUCAAGGUAUGGCAUUUAUUUUUGUGAGAUUGGAUCUAAAGGGAGAAAGAAAAGGAAUUAACAGUUGUAUUUGCCUGUUAUGUUCUAGGUAUUUUACAUAUGGAUUUCUAACAUUAAUUCUUAUAACCACCCUGUGAGGUAGGCAUUACUACUUGCAUCUCACAGGUAAUUGAGGCUUAAAAUACUUCAGUGAUGUACACCAUUUACCCAAAUGGCAAUAGGAGAAGGAGGAUUAUAACUUAUGCCUCUGUCCAGGAAUAGGCUAGAAAGGAGGGGAAGGUAUAUCCCUCCUAAUAUAAUGUCUAAUCUAUGGGUGCCAACAGAUAUUCAGUAACUGACUACUUGCUCAAGUGCAAAUAACUAGUCAUGUCCCAAGGGAAAGUCUAUAUUUUAUUUUACCAUAACAUGCUUUCUUUUGGUCCAAAGGAAGGAGACUUCUUACCCAGACAACAGCAAGGAAGCAUAGGGAAUUGAUCCUUGAUAUUUACGACCUAAAUCAAUGAUUUUAUAUUGAACACUUACAAUUUUUAUUGCCUGUAAGAAACUGCUGAAUUUUGAGAAUCAUGGCUUACAUGCUGAUUUUCCUAACAAAAAUGGAAUUCCAAAAAAAAAAGGAAUUCUAAUUAUUUAUAUGUGAAAUAUGUAUGAUUUUUUAACAGUUAGCAUUAAUCUAUUAAUCCAGGAAAACCGUAGAAAGAGCUACUUUCUUUUAAAUGAAUAAGGGUGUUUCAUGAAAUCUGUAUGAAAAUGAAUUUUAGAGCACCAAGAGAACAAUUAGUAUAUUAAAGGGGUAUAGAAAAUUCUACAUAAAAAAUUGCUAAAAGCCAGGUGUGGUGUUGCAGGGUUUUUUUGUUUGUUUGUUUGUUUGUUUUGGUACUGGGGAUCAAACUCGGGACCUUGCGCCUGUGAGGCAGUGUUGAAGGUUUUUUUAAAAAAUGUGUUGCUGGUUUGAAAAAUUUAAUCAGUUAUUUUAAAAUUCAGAAAUAAUAAGAUAAAAUAAAUGUUGAACUGAGUGAAGGAUAUUUGGAUAAAUAUACUUUUUUGGGGUAAAAAUACUAUUUCUGUAGUGGUAAGUUUUUUUGAGGUGAUCAAACCCAGGGCCUUGUCCAUGCUCAGCAAGCAGUCUAUCAUUGUGCUAUAUCCCCAGCUUUCAUACUAGUAAAUUUGAAAAAAUAAGUUAAAUAGAUAAAUGCUUAGAAAAAUUAAAAUACCAAAGAUUCAAGAGAGAAAAUAAAACAAACAAAAAAAAGGAUGAUUGCCUGGCUAAUGAGUCACCUGACCCUCAUAAUUAAAGAAACACUACACCAAUCGUUAAAAAAAUUCCUUAGGGCCUGGGGAUUUAGCUCAGUGGUUUUGCCCCCUUGCAAACGCAUAGACCUGAGUUUGAUUCCCGGUACAAAAAAAAAAAAAAAAAUUCCUAAUAUCAUAAGCUGUUUUGAAGUACAUAGCCUAACAUAGCUGAUACUAGUGACAGUUUAUUAAUGAAUGCAUGUAGUGAUCAAGCUACUUUUUACUAAAUUAACUUUAUGAUGCAAAUAUAUUUAAUCCCCAAAUAAAACUACUAUAAUACCUAAAACAAAAAUUAUAGUUUAAUGUUAGGCAACCCUUUUGUUCUUCAUCUAAAAAAGGGCAAAAUAAUAGAACCUACUUUAUUCUGGCUUGUGAAGAUUAAGGGAGACAAUUCAUUUAAAUUCCUUAGUACAAAAUCAACUUUGGUUGUAUUGAACUCUGAAAUUUGGAGUUUGCAGAGCAGUUUGCCUACCCUGACUAAUUUAUUUUAUUUUUUAGUACCGGGGAUCAAACUCAGGACUUUGCGCUUAUAAGGCAGGCACAGCGCCACUGAGCUACAUCCCCAGUCCCCCUGACUAAUUUAUGUACAAUUAUUUGUCUACUUGACUGGAGGAAACAAGCAGAUUGGUCACAUUUCAGUGAUCACAGACUUCAAGUAGGCCCCUUGAUGGUCAUGACAUUUCAUGUUGCCUUUCUCUUAGAUGUCAAAUUUAUGCCUUCUGUCAUCUCACAUCUCUAAUACCUCCUACCCCAUCCUCACUCUCAACUGAUGGCCUUGCUUCUAAGUCACUGAGAAAAUAAUAACUACACAAGCUCCCAUCACAUUUAUCCACCAUCCAACAUCUGUCCCCAGAUGAUGUCCUCUCCUGCUUUUCCUAUUAACUAAAGGGCAAUUCUCCUUGCUUCUACAAAAAGCCAUUUUCUCCAUCAUCUUGAUCAUGUCACACAAUAACUUCCCUCUCCUGCAUCAUUAGGUUCUCUCUUUCCAUUGGAUUAUUCCCAUCAACAAUGAUGUUGGAAUGCAUGCCAUAUGUGGAAGGCAGAAUUGUCCUCUACUAAAGAUAUCCAUGUCCUAAUUCCCAGAACCGGUAAACAUGUUAGGUUAUAUAGCAAAGGGAGAUUAAGGCAGAAGAUGGAAUUAGAUUGCUGCUGAGCUGACCUUAUCAGCUGGAUUAUCCUGUGUUAUCCCAGUUGAGCGCAAUGCCAUCAACAAGGGGUCUUCAAAGCAAAAGGAGGCAGAAGAAACGAGAAAGAGUGGUCAGAGAGAGGCAGUGUUUCUGGCUUGCAAGAUGGAGGAAGGCAGCCAGGAGCCAAGGACUGGAGCAGGUGCCCUCCAGAAGCUGGGAAAGGCAUGAAUACUGAUUCUCCACUGGCGCCUCCAGAAAGGAACACAGUCUUCUUGACAUCUUGAAUUUAGGCCAGUGAGGCCUGUGUUGGACUUCUCACCUACAGAACUGUCAGGACCUGGAGCUUUCAGAGGUCCGUAACCUUCCCAUGGUCAUACUGUGGCUAAGAGGACAAAACAGGAAUCUGGCACAGGGAAAUGGACUCAGUGAUUUCUUGCUUAUCUUUGUAGCAAGGAUUAAUUGCACUGAAAUCAAUGCCUUAGGAAAAUACCAACUUUGCCAGCCAUCGUGGCCUAGGGAGGACAGGGGAUGCUUGUGGUCUGAAAAAAGAAGAGGACACAGAACAUGGUCAGCUUAAUCCUUGGAGACAUAUGCCUGACUCAGAGGUAAAAAUAGUACUUUCAUUAUUAAAACAGCUGAGGAAGUCACGGAAAUUUAUCAGAAGUAGUUUGUUUUCAUUUAUGAGGCUGUAUAGCAUACUGAUUAAGCCUGUUAAGGAUUCUGAAUUUGAAUCCUAGCUCUAACACUUCUUAGCUGUGUGUCUUAGAGAAGUUAUUGAGCUCCUCUGUGCUCCAGUUUUCUCAUGAGUGAAAAGCACAUAAUAAUAACAGUACAAGUUGGGUAUGGUGGUGCAUGCCUGGAAUCCCAGCACCCAGGAGGCUGAAGCAGGAAUUCAAGGCCAGCUUGAACAUCUUCAUAGUGUUGUCCCAUGGGACCUGGGAGUCAGUGAGCCAGUGCAGAAUAUGCUGUGGUCACUGCUUUCGCUGGGAACUUUAUUGAUCUGCUGUUUGUGACGUAGAAGUCAGUGCUCAUGAACUGAAGCCGGCUAAGUUGUUAGCUUGCACAAAGGGUAAAAUCUUUGCUCUGUAACAGUUCCUUUUACGCUGUGAUUGAAUGUACGCAACAUUACAUUUACCAUCUUAACCAUUUUUAAGGGUUCAGUUCAAUGAACUGUUACUAUCUUGCAGAACUGAAAUUCUGUACCCAAUGAACAAGAAUUCCCUGUCCUUGUCCCCAGCCACUGGUUACCUUUGUUCUGUGUCUUUACAGAUUUGACUAUUCUAGGUGCCUCAUAUAAGUGGUUUGUCAUUUUGUGUCUGACUUAUUCUUCUUAGGUCUUCAAGGUCUAUCCACAUUGUAGCAUGUGUCCUGAUUUCAUCCAUUUUUUAGGUUGAAUAAUAUUCCAUUGUAAGUAUAUACACUUUAUGGUUCUUAAUACUACUGUAAUUGUAUUU
Molecule: non-coding RNA, 6958 nt
Organism: Heterocephalus glaber (naked mole-rat)
Lineage: Eukaryota; Metazoa; Chordata; Mammalia; Rodentia; Bathyergidae
Source: RefSeq, a predicted model, not a curated record